GCAAAGGGUUCCUCUAUAAUUGGAGAGAUGUUACAAUUAUAGCAAAGCCAAAAGGUUUCAUUUCAUCUCCAAAAGUUGCUUUGUUAUAUAUAUAUAUAUAUUCUCUGUAAUAUUUCAUUGGUAAGUUCCUUUUUUAUAUUCGAUAUUCCAUGAGCAGAGUUAUUCCCGCAACAGAUAUCAAAAGCAAUUUUCUUUUUUGAGACUGAAAUGACUCGAUGCUCUCCGUCUGCUUCUGCUUUGGAGAACUAGAUAGUUUUGUGAUGGUGUGUAUGCACUUUCCAUCUUUGCUUGUGAGUUGCAAAGUUGUCCUUUGAACUAAUGCAAGUCCUCUUAGCAGUAGAAUCAGUCAGUAGUUUUCUUCAUUCUUAUCCUCCUAACCUUAUCCCGGAUAGUUUCCCAAUAGCUAAGCUGUUAAUUCAAUAGUAAUCAAUUAAUAGUUUUAACAGAGGAAAGGAAAUUUUUGACCAGAACUCUGAAAGUCAUUAAAAGAAUCCAUUUUUAUGAACCCCACAUCGACAGAGUUAAGAUCUCGUUGGCUGGUGUGGGCUCGCCCUCGCCUGCAAUCAGAAACAGGACUGGCUAUGCAUUAUGACGUAAAUCCAGUCUCGUUUAAGUGCUAUCUUCACUCUUUCAAUUUUCAUUUUGCAUAGGCAAAAGCUAAAAUGGAGGAAAUGUAUUUCUAUUUCAAUGGGUUUGCAGAACGAGACGGCAGAUUUCUUCUCCGUAAGUGGGCAGAACAAGCUGGGACGGGCUAGUACCAAGGUCCAAGGAAGCAAGGAUUAUGAUUAUUUUGAAGCGGGGAUGUGAUGAAGUGUCACGAAUGAUUGAGAUUUCUGAGGCAGCUAACUGUUCUAUAGGCUUUAUCUGUCAACUGCAAUACUUUACUUGGGGCCAGGGACCAAACAUACGUAAGGGCAAUUACUGCAGGCACAGGCUGUAGGAAUCCAAAUAAGAUUUCCUAGCUAGCUUUGUUGGAUAUUAUAGUUUCUCCUCCAAGCAACUUGCUUUCUUGAAGAUUCUUGAAUAACCCCUAUGGUCUUCAUGUUCUUCCAUGAACUCAUCAUUGAACUUCUUGAAACUGGCCAUGAUUGCUGGCAUGUCUUCCUCAGAUGGUAAAAUGGUUGUUCUCAAGUGAAAGACCCCUUCUUUUUGUCCAAAUCCCGAACCAGGAACAGUGGAAAUGCCAGUGGCUUCCAAAAGCUUGAGACAGUAGAAAACAUCAGGAACUUUUCCAGCCUUUUUGGCAGCCUCUAUUGCUUUAGGUGGCAACCGUAUUUGAGGAAAUGAAUACAUGGCACCUUCUGUGAAAUUGCAAACUACAUUUCUGCAGCUGUUGAAUCCAUCUGUCAUAAUCCUUGCUCUUCUCCUCAGUGAUUCAAGGAUUCCUUUGCUCUCCCUAAUAAACUGUUCAUAUGAAAUAUCUCCAGGUUUAGGUGGGUUGACCAUCAAACCCAUAAAUAUCUGUGCAGGGACAUUAGGACUGAGAGAUAUGGAUGCAACCUUAUAAAUCUCAUCCACUGUCUGUGCAGGAAUGUUGGUCAUCUCAAAGUAUCCACCUCGCUGCCCACAUUCACCCCAAUAUCCUUUGGACACAGUGUGGAAAGAAACAAGUUGGAUUUCCUUGCUUAUUGGUGGCCCCAUAUCCAUCAAAACCUUUCUAGCACUAAUAAAGGGUCGUUCAUCCUGAUAAAUGUUCUGCUGAUAAACUUCAUCUCCAAGAAGGGCCAAGUUUUCUUGAUAACAGAAGCGCAAUAUUUCCCUUAAAUUAGCUUCACUAAGACACUGACCAGUGGGGUUGCCUGGGUUGAUAAUGACCAUUGCUCUUACCUGAUCAUUUUCCAAUACAUAUGAGAUUUAGUUGGGAAUACCGAAAAUUACAAGAAAAGUUGGCUCAGCAAUUCAAUUAUGAAAGCAGGUGCCAAAAGAAAGAUAAUAUCAAAUGGAAGAAAAUGAUAGAAGAUUUUCCACAAGAUAAUACAAAUGUUUAUGAGGUAAUUGUUAAUAGAACCAAAAAAGAAACUACAAAUCCCAAGACUUAAAAGUAAUAUAUCACCCCUUUCAUCCAUCCAGACCCAGUCAUCCAGUUUUCAAGUUUCAUCUAUAGGUUCCUAAUAGAUUUCUCACACUUAUAUAUGCAAGAAAGAGUCAAAGCACACUGACAGUUAUUCCUUUACAGCGCGCUUGAAAAACUGCAUGCCGCAGAUCAUUAAUAUCAAGACCCCAAUUUGCUGUCUCUUCUAGGUAAUAUGGUACAAGGGAACCACCAAACAGAGAUAUUGCAGCAGAGUAAAGUGGGUACUGUGGAACUGGAACCAAAACCCCAUCACCGUCACCACGAAUUAUUGUAUUCAAGAUCUGCAUGACACCCUUACUUGCUCCAUCAGUGAGAAAUAUGAGUUCUGGAUCACUGUCAAUGGAGUAGGAAUCAGUGAAUCCCUUAAGCUCAUAACUUAGCCACCAUAGCUAAGUGGUAGUUUGCGCAAAAGAAAAAAAGGAAGAAAGCUAGAGAGUAAAGAAGCAUGAAAUCGAGCAUUAUCACCUUGGAUAUCCAUCACGCCUUCCAAUGAACUCUGCCACCUCCUUCCUAAUUCCUGGGAUACCUCGGGAGUCACUGUAAGCACCUAGACCACCAGAAGUCAGUGAAAGAUAAUGUUUAGCUCUUGCAAUUGCAUCCGCGGGGAAUAUGAGUCCUACAUUAGGAUCAUCUAGUAGAAAUGGAGCUUGGCAGAGAGCAACCACCUGACGAGGAAAUGUGAGUGGCUUCUGUCCUAGAGCAUGAGGAUUGCCAACAUUUGUGAAAAUAAUCUACAGAUAUAAAGUUGAAGUAGUGAGGCACAGAUGACCAUAUAAACGGGCUACCAACAUCUCAUUAUUAAAAUUUAUCAAAUUUUCUUUUUACUAAUCAACCUUUAAAGAAGUAGAAUCAUAACAAUGUCUUUUCCCAUCUUUGCAAGGAACGAAAUAGCAUACAAAGUUCACAUUCUAUGACACUUCCACAAUAUCAGAAUUUUGGCUAAAAAAUUGGAGUUUCCACUGCUUUGCCGGUGUGAGGAAAUAUAGAAUUAGUGAUAUUUUUCUUUUGGGUGGCUAUGCUAAAAAUGCAUGAAAUUGAGUUUCCUGCCAAAGUGGCAAUUUAUGUUGUAUAUUAGUAAGAACACCAAUAAAUUACCUGACAGGAAAACCAAAUAUGAUCAAAUCCACGCUUGUGUGAUCCAGUUUCAUACUUUUGCAUGUUAGAAAGUAUCCAGAUUUUCUUAUCAAAAGUGUUACAAACAUAUCAAGCCACAAAUCCUUGCUCGAUAAAUAUUUAAAAGAAAAAUGUACAAUACAAACACAAGAUGCAUCAAAAAAGAAAUAACUGGAGGAAUCCACCAUUACUUUAAAGACAUUGAACAAGACACCCAAAUUUCUCUGUGUUAGAAUAAAUUAAACUCAACAUAAGAGUUUUACAGAAAAUCCAAGAACAAGGAGCUAAUAAUCAUGUCAAAAUAUCUUGUCCUCACAUAAAUCAGUAGAAAUUCAAUAUAUUAUAGUUAAAUGCGAGCUGAAGGAACAUCAAGACAAAGCUUUAAGAACAACAGGGCUGACUAAUUUUUCCAAAGACAACCAAACAAACUUAAUAAGGUGCAAGACGGACUAAAAGAACAAUAUUCCUAGAGAAAGCUCAAGCAGAACAACUCUAGAUAUACCUUCUUUCCUUCCUUCUGGAGCUCAGAAGCUCGAAGAUACAGCUCACCUCUAACAGCAUAUUGAACCUUCUUCACAUUUUCAUUCAACGACUCAUAGUCUAAUGCCUUAGGUGCCAUGAUGUAUAAUAGUCUACCUUCUUAUUGAGAAAACGGGGAAAACAGUAAACUCGGUUCCUAACCUGCAAAAGAGUUAGCUGCGAGUUUUCCAGGGAGCUCUCGUGAGCAGAAGCCAAGUGUUGGUCUAACCCACGAGUGGGAGAAGGUGCAAGUGAAGUGUCAGUCAAUAAAUGUGGGGAUAUUAUAUGGCAGGACAAGAACCAGUGGCAGGUACCAGAACCACUGAAAAAUGACAGACAGAUUAGUUGCGAGUUUCUGUUUAGUUUUAAGGCAAAAGGAUAAACUUGGUGAUACAGGAAGUGUGGUGUAGCUUCAAA
RNAcentral lists this unclassified non-coding RNA (4123 nucleotides) under Hevea brasiliensis (rubber tree). The record is from RNAcentral. Lineage: Eukaryota; Viridiplantae; Streptophyta; Magnoliopsida; Malpighiales; Euphorbiaceae.